Molecule: small RNA, 543 nt
Filed under: Pan troglodytes (chimpanzee)
Lineage: Eukaryota; Metazoa; Chordata; Mammalia; Primates; Hominidae
Description: processed transcript
Source: RNAcentral
AAUUCGGCCCUAGAAGCGACGUGCGGCUCAGAGCCCAGGUGGGACUUGGCUCGGCGGCCAUGGGCAAGCAGAACAGCAAGCUGCGGCCCGAGAUGUUGCAGGACCUGCGAGAGAACACAGAGUUCUCAGAGCUGGAGCUGCAGGAGUGGUACAAGGGCUUCCUCAAGGACUGCCCCACAGGAAUCCUCAAUGUGGAUGAGUUCAAGAAGAUCUACGCCAACUUCUUUCCCUAUGGUGACGCCUCCAAGUUUGCCGAGCACGUCUUCCGCACCUUUGACACCAACAGCGAUGGCACCAUAGACUUUCGGGAGUUCAUCAUUGCGCUGAGCGUGACCUCGCGCGGCCGCCUGGAGCAGAAGCUCAUGUGGGCCUUCAGCAUGUAUGACCUGGACGGCAACGGCUACAUCAGCCGGGAGGAGAUGCUGGAGAUCGUGCAGGCCAUUUACAAGAUGGUUUCGUCCGUGAUGAAGAUGCCGGAGGACGAGUCGACCCCGGAAAAGAGGACUGAGAAAAUCUUCCGCCAAAUGGACACAAACAACGACG